Molecule: ribosomal RNA, 327 nt
Filed under: uncultured eukaryote
Lineage: Eukaryota
Description: partial 18S ribosomal RNA
Rfam family: Eukaryotic small subunit ribosomal RNA
Source: RNAcentral
CCCUUAGAUGUUCUGGGCCGCACGCGCGCUACACUGACGAAUGCAACGAGCUUAUAACCUUGGCCGAAAGGUCUGGGUAAUCUCCAAAUUUCGUCGUGAUGGGGAUAGAUUAUUGCAAUUAUUAAUCUUCAACGAGGAAUGCCUAGUAAGCGCAAGUCAUCAGCUUGCGUUGAUUACGUCCCUGCCCUUUGUACACGCCGCCCGUCGCUCCUACCGAUUGAAUGGUCCGGUGAAGCGUUCGGACCGUGGCCUUUGGACGGUUCGCCGUCUGUUGGCUGCGGGAAGUUCGUUAAACCUUAUCAUUUAGAGGAAGGAGAAGUCGUANCA